GUAAAUUUAGAAGUGAAUGGAUGCAUCUUCGUACCAUAGAAAACGUGAAACCACUGCCAGUUCUGGUACUUGACUGAAGGAUAAUUAUGGUUUGCUGUGUGCUGGAGAUAAUGGUGAUUCUGAUAUGUUAACACUUUUCUGUGUGGAACAGUCUCAAGCAAAUGAAUGGAACUCAUCAGCCUGGCUUGCUCUGGAAGGCUUCCCGUCACAGAAUGGUUGGAUUUGAAAGAGAGCUUAAAGAUCAUCUAGUUCCAAACCCUCUG
Molecule: long non-coding RNA, 263 nt
Filed under: Numida meleagris (helmeted guineafowl)
Lineage: Eukaryota; Metazoa; Chordata; Aves; Galliformes; Numididae
Description: lncRNA (ENSNMEG00000022132.1)
Source: RNAcentral